Neodiprion fabricii is the source of this 2015-nucleotide long non-coding RNA. RefSeq lists it as uncharacterized. The record is from RefSeq and is a predicted model, not a curated record. Lineage: Eukaryota; Metazoa; Arthropoda; Insecta; Hymenoptera; Diprionidae. The transcript is spliced from 4 exons.
GCAGUACUGGAAUAAUAAUGAAAUAAAUAAAAUUGAAAUAAAUGUAGAAAGAAAAACACAUGAUGAAUACUUAGUAGUUGUAUCGAUUUGUCAAGAAAAUAUAAGAACAAAAAGGCAUAAUCUUUCCGAAUCCUCGGUAUUACUCGGCUACACGGUGCAAGCAUGCUGCAGAAGACUAGCUAGAGAGCAUGAGACCUAAUUUGAGUGGUAGGGAAGAUUCUCCGCUUGAAGCUUUCUGAUUGGCACACGUGCACGGUCUCAUUGAAAUGAGACUUCGUUUCCAGACAGCUGUUGACUGAGGAUAUUAGACAGGUUCCAGGGUAGAUCAAGAGUUACAGCCAAAAACCGAAAAUUUCCUUGGCAAUUUCUCUGCUGCUGGUCCUACGCUCUUUUUGCUCGUUUUUGGCGGUGUUUUAAACAUGCUGGGCAACUAACUACUAGCGCCACUAGUGGUGGAAAUUGGGGGCAGAAUCGAGGGACAUUUUGCGAACCACAUUUAGCACCGUGUGUCAGCACCGUAUUCCAUCAAAUUCUAUCGUAUUUCAAAAGACGCUAGAAUUAACUAGUGUAGCUAACGUGAACCCGGCGCACUGGUCGGACGAGAUCUGCCGCUCGCUCCGUGGUAGCGCUUUUAUAAGAGGCGGUUUGGCGGAUCGUCAAGCGUUCAGCAGUCGCUCGGUGACGUCAAAGUUCUAAGAAUUGCGAAUGCCUGAUUCUCUUAUCCCUUUCUGAAUUACAUUCCUAGGUGAUCAUUAUUCAUCAAUUUCAUGCGAGAGAUCAACCGUUUAGGAAUUAUUAUAACAAGACCAAUUUUUUGCAACUUUAAUCCAGGAUGGCGAAUCGCACGGACCCUUCUCUUCAAAGGCCGAAAAUACAUACACGACAAUCACUACUAUCCCACCAUUUGUAGUGCAAAGGUUUGUUUUACUCCCCAUCAACUGGACUACAUUUGAACAUAAUUAGAAUGUCAGGAAUAAAAUAUAAGUACAUUACAUACAAAACCGUAAAUUUAUAUAAAUAUUGAAUUUGUAAAGGCUUAUUAUUUGCAAUAAUUCUAAUCGAAGACUAUACUAGAAUUGAUUAAGACCGCACUUACCUUGCUGUAUUUCGUAUUCAUCCAAUUCUGCAGCAUGAUGCAAUUUCCACUUUUGCAUUUUCUUAUUCUCAUCGAUGGUACGUCCGUUUUUUUUUUUUUUUGAAAAUCAACCGUUCAACCAAUUGUCAUUUAUAAUAUAUAAUUAAGCAAAUCAAGAUUUCAUUUCCAAGAAAGCCCUCCAUUUCGAACCUCAACUCUAGAAAAUAUAUAUUCAAUCAUCUCCUACAUCAAUUUGUUGAGCGAAAUAAGUUCGUUAUCAACUACCACGAAAAUUGAUUAAAUACUCGCUUAGCAAAAUUAGGCUAAAAUAAUAAGAAUAAGUACAUUUAAAUAUAAAUAAAAUUAUGCAUCGUGAUUCUCGCGUUGAGAAAAAUAAAAUCAUUAAUUGCGACACAACGUACAAAGUUUAGUUAAAAAAAAAAAAAAAAAUUCAAAAUAAUAAUAACAUUAUUUUCUCGAAUAUCGCACGAUAUAAGAAUUUAUUUCCGUAAAUAAUUAGAUAGAAAAUAUAAUUAAGCCGAGCUAAAUAAUUAUAAGUUUUUCGUUUCUAGUUUUGUUUGUUGUGAAAACAGGAGGAGGGGUGAAGUUUCUGUUGCUAUUUAGUAUUAUUAAUAAUAAUAAUAGUUAUUAUAGGUAGUAAAUAAUUACGUUAUGCAAGUCGGAAUAAUAAAGUUGCCAAUGAGACGGUUUUUUUUUUAUCAACUAUUUCGAGAAGUUUGACAAUAUUUGUUUUUCUUAUCAUUAAAAUUCAAUGAUAUUGUUGUUUGUAAUAUUUCACGUGGUGGUAAAAGAUAUAUCGUCGUCGUCGCUGCUGCUUGAUUAAAUUAAAAUCUUUUUUUUUUUAUUUUCAAUUUUCACCGUACCAAUGUAAUCAAUCAUUCAAUUAACCAGAUGGUUUCUCAUUACAAAUAAAAAUAAA